Molecule: transfer RNA, 77 nt
Filed under: Planctomycetaceae bacterium
Lineage: Bacteria; Pseudomonadati; Planctomycetota; Planctomycetia; Planctomycetales; Planctomycetaceae
Also listed under: 1 other name
Description: tRNA-Arg
Rfam family: tRNA
About the family: Transfer RNA (tRNA) molecules are approximately 80 nucleotides in length. Their secondary structure includes four short double-helical elements and three loops (D, anti-codon, and T loops).
Source: RNAcentral
GUCCCCGUAGCUCAGUAGGAUAGAGCGGCUGGUUCCUAACCAGCAGGUCGCAGGUUCGACUCCUGCCGGGGAUACCA